UCUGUUUGAGCCUGAAUCAGAGGAAGGAUCUGAUGCAGAGGAGCAACCUGCCAGGAGAUUGGAAAUGACUCUUCAGACUGGUGUACUUGUGGAAACUGUGCACAACUGCCCCGGGAGAGAGAAAAUAUGUUGCCAAUAAACACCUCAGGUCAUGAAAAGAAUGACCCAGGUUCCUGAUGAGAUAACCUGUGUGACUCACCAUCCUGGCCUUCAUCGGGUGGGCCUCAAUAAAUAUUCUUUGCUAAAUGCAAUGAAUAUUUACAGAGUUGACCAUGGCCAGUUGAGACUCAGAGGGAUGGAAAUGUGAGGCCAAUGCGAUACCACUGUUAGCAGUUC
Molecule: long non-coding RNA, 336 nt
Organism: Etheostoma cragini (Arkansas darter)
Lineage: Eukaryota; Metazoa; Chordata; Actinopteri; Perciformes; Percidae
Exons: 3
Source: RefSeq, a predicted model, not a curated record